RNAcentral lists this unclassified non-coding RNA (156 nucleotides) under uncultured fungus. Its description in RNAcentral is "sequence contains ITS1". The record is from RNAcentral. Lineage: Eukaryota; Fungi.
UCUAGAGGCCCUAGCCGGUCUUGCAACCCUGUUCAUCGUACCUUUGUGUUGUUCCCUCGGCGCGGCUGCUCGCCGCGCCGGCGGGAAGCUCAACGAAACCUUUGCAACGCAGCAUCCAAAAUAAUAUCUCUGAUUGCGAAAAGACCUAAAUCGUCA